AUAUCCCUGCCGUGUUCGUUGGCAAUGCUUGACAAUAGGUGAACCAACACAAUAUGUAUGGGAGCUUCGAUUCUUCUACGCCUUGGCGUAAAGAGAGAGCACCCACCUGAUACCGUAAGGUUCAGCCGUCGAGCGCCAACGACACAGUGCGGGGAUUUU
Molecule: non-coding RNA, 159 nt
Filed under: Candidatus Omnitrophota bacterium
Lineage: Bacteria; Pseudomonadati; Candidatus Omnitrophota
Description: 6S RNA
Rfam family: 6S / SsrS RNA
About the family: E. coli 6S RNA was the first non coding RNA to be sequenced, but its function was unknown until recently. It consists of 184 nucleotides that fold into an extended hairpin structure with a large single-stranded internal bulge. The 6S RNA specifically associates with RNA polymerase holoenzyme containing the sigma70 specificity factor.
Source: RNAcentral